GCCUGAGUGGCGGAAUAGGUAGACGCGAUGGACUUAAAAUCCAUUGACAGCAAUGUCGUGCCGGUUCAAGUCCGGCCUUGGGUACCA
Molecule: transfer RNA, 87 nt
Filed under: Bacillus subtilis
Lineage: Bacteria; Bacillati; Bacillota; Bacilli; Caryophanales; Bacillaceae
Also listed under: 1 other name
Description: tRNA-Leu
Rfam family: tRNA
About the family: Transfer RNA (tRNA) molecules are approximately 80 nucleotides in length.
Source: RNAcentral